Molecule: long non-coding RNA, 3532 nt
Organism: Antechinus flavipes (yellow-footed antechinus)
Lineage: Eukaryota; Metazoa; Chordata; Mammalia; Dasyuromorphia; Dasyuridae
Exons: 2
Source: RefSeq, a predicted model, not a curated record
CACAUGUGCAAGUGUGUGUGUGUGUGUGUGUGUGUGUGUAAAGAAAGAGAGAAAAAGAGAGAGACAAAGACAGCUAAAUGACAGUAGAGAGAGUACCUAGCCUGGAGUUAGCAAGAUUCAUUUCCCUGAAUUUAAAUCUGACCUCAGAUAAUUAACACCUUUGUCACUUAACCCAAUUUGCCUCAGUUACUUCAUCUAUAAGAUGAAGGAAAUGGCAAAUUAUCCAAUAUCUUUGUUAAAUGGGACACAGAGAGUCAGAUACUACUGAAAACAAUUAAACCACUAUAAAUAAAUGAAUGUAUAUAUAAACGCAUAUGUGAUAUCCACAUACUUGUUUCUUUGCUAUUUUACAGAUGAGGAAACAGAGGCUCAAUCAAACUGAAAUUAGUCAGGUACACUGAUAUUAUUAAGACAGAAGAACUAGAUUUGGAUCCAGAUUUCAUCCUAUAUCCAAUCCCAUUUCCAAUUUUUCUCAAAAGGUAACCAAUCCAAAUGCACACAAUUGGAUCCAGAAAUGACAACUGAAGAUAACAGAUUAGAGGCAGCACCUCAACAUCUAAUUUUUUCAACAUCCCUCUCUAAACAAAUUUUUUAAAAUACACCUUAAAUCAGAUAUUGGAGGAGCAGAGCCAAAAAUAAAAAAAAUAAAAAUAAAGUUCAAGGUGAGGCAUUUUUCCAGUCUUAGAAAACAUAGGAGUGCACAGGAGAGAUCUUUGACACCAGGGAAGAGUCCAAUCUGAAGUGGACACAUAUGGAAGCAGAAACCGUGGCUACAGCAACAGCAACAAUAUCUUUAGGACCAAGAUCAGAAGCAAAUUAAUUGACAGCAGAAUAUUAUUACCUGGCAAGAUCUUUGGAUAAGGGAAGGAUUUGUGACCAAACAGGAGAUAAAGAUAAUUACAGAAUAUAAAAUAGAUAAUUUUGAUUACAUUAAAUUAAAAAGGGGUUGCACAUGUAAAACCAAUGCAACCAAACUUAAAUAUAAAGAAGAAAACGGGAGGGGGAUUAAACUUUUCUCUGAUAAAGGCUUCAUUUUUUUUCAAAUAUAUAAGGAACUUAGUUAAAUUUAAAAGAAUGCGAAUCAUUUCCCAAUUGAGAAAUGGUCAAAGGAUAUAAACAAUUUUCAGAAAAAGAAAUCAAAACUAUCUAUAGUCAUAUGAAAAAAUAUCAUUAUUGUCAAGAGAAAUACAAAUAAAAAACAGAUACCACCUCACACCUAUCAGGUUGGCUAAUGUGACAGAAAAGAAAAAUGACAAAUGUUGGAGAUGUGGGAAAAUUGAGAUAUUAAUGUAGUAUUGGUAGCGUUGGGAACUGUUCCAAUUAUUACAAAGAGCUACCUAGAAUUAUACUAUAAAAUUGUGCAUACCCUUUGACCCAGCAAUAGCACUACUAGGUCUAUAUCCCAGAGAUCAAAAAAAAAAAAAAAAAAAGAAAGAAAGAAAGAAAGAAAGAAAAGAAAAAGGAUCUAUAUAUUAAAAAAAAAUUAAAGCAGCUCUUUUUGUGAUGUCAAAAAACUGAACGAUGAGGGGAUGCUCAUCAACUGAAGAAUGCCUAACAAGUUUUGUAAUUUAUAAUUGUUAUGGAAUGUUGUUUUAUCAUUUGGUAAUGUCCAAAUCUUCUAUACUUAACUAUCUCUGAAAUCUGUCUAAGAUCUUAAUUCAUUGCAUUCAUGAUAGUAUCUAUCAGUCUUAUCCUCUGCCAACCUCUUCUUUUGUCUUCAAUCUGUCCCAACAUUGAGGUCUAUUUCUCAAAGUACUUAACGUUUAGCUUCAGUAUUUGACCUUCCACUGAAUAAAUAGCUUGAAUUAAUUUCUUUAAAUAUUGACUGAUUUGAUCUCCUUACUGUUCCAAGGACUCUCAAAAGUCUUUUUCCCCACAAUUUAAAAGAUUAUUUUAAUGUAAAUAAUAUGUAAAUAAUGAUGCUCAAUUUUCCUUAUAGUCCAAUCUUACAGUUUUGACUAUGUGGACCUUUGUCAACAAGGGGAUGUCUCUGCUUAUUAGUAUAUUGUCCAAAUUUGUGACAGCUUUAUGUCCAAGGAAAACUUGCCUAUUAUUCCAAUUAUCUUUUUCCUACUUUAGCAGUCCAAUAUAGAGUGAUAAAUGUAACUUCUUUUAUAUUGUUAUUUACAAAAGAUAUUAUAGAUCUGAUCAACUUUGGCAUCCAGCCUCAGUAGUGCUUGGAUUACUGUGAUUUUGAAUCUUUUGACUUGGAAAAUUGUACUACAGUAUUGCUUUUCUCACCAUUUUAUUGCCUAUCAGGCAAUAAAAUAAAUUCUAAGGAUACAAUACCAUAUGUAAUGAUCACUUGAAUUAAUAUCUAUUUCCAUUUAUUAAAAUUCACUGACACUCAAGAUUCAAAUGUUUAAUCGUUCCAUCUCCUCUUUGACCACAUCCAGUUUGUGGUCAUAGAUCUUACAUUCUAGAUUCCAAUGCAAUGUUAAUUUUUUUUCUCUUUUUUAUAUUAAGGCUUUUUAUUUUCAUAGUAAUUUUCAACAUUCACUCUUGCAACACCUUGUGUUCCAAAUUUUUCUUUCCCUUUCUUUCCCCCACUCCUUCCUUAGACCGCAAGUAAUCCAAUACAUGUUAAAUAUGAGCAGUUCUUCUAUACAUGCAAUAUUAAUUCUUAAAACAAUUUUCCAUUUGACACCAGAUAUAUCCACAGCUAAACUUCCUUUUGGCCAUGGCCCAGUCACUUCAUUAGUAUUAGAUCUACUUGUAGUUGUCUUCUGCUCUUCCCCAGUAACAUUCUGGACACCUUCCAAUCUGAGGUGUUAAUCUUCCAGUCAUAACUUUAUUAUUUUAAUACUGUCCUUGAGGUUUUCUUGGCAAAGAUACUAAAACUGUCAUUUCCUUCUCCAGUGGAUCACCUUGUGUCAGAACUCUCCAUUAUGACCUGUCCAUCUUGGGUAACCCUGAAUAAUAUAGUUCAUAGUUUCAUUGAGUUACACAAGUUUCUCCAUUAUGUCAAGGCAGCAAAUCCAGGAGGUAUAGCAUUAUUGUGCUAUUUUUUUAAAAUGACAAGUCCGAUGCUUUCAGAAAAAAAAAAAAUUGAGAAGACUUAAGUGAACUGAUACAAAAUGAAGUGGGCAGAACCAGAACAAUGUACACAGUAACAACAAUGUUGUAUAAUGAUAAAUUGUGAAUGACAGCUAUUUUUAAUAAAAUGAUCCAAGAUAACUCUGAAAUACAUAUGAUUAAAAAUGCUCUCUCUCUCUAAGGAAAGAACUGAUAGAAUCCAAAUGCAGAGCAAAGUAUGUGUGAUUGUUGUAUUUAUUGUUGUUUAUUUUCUUAGGGGUUUUUGUUGUUUGUAUUUUCUUCUGCAAUGUGGCUAAUAUGGGAAAAUGUUUUACAUGAUUGCACAUGCAUGAUCUACAUGAAAUUGCUUUUCUUUUUCAAGAAAAAGUCAAGAAAAGAAGAGAGGAAGAGAAUUUGGAACUCAAAAUUUUAAAAAAGACAUGUUAAAAUUUUGUUUUAUGUGUUGUUGGAAAAAAAUAAAACAUUAAAACAGAAAGCUAAUAAGAUGGACUCAUUG